This 99-nucleotide ribosomal RNA is filed under the name uncultured bacterium. Its description in RNAcentral is "partial 16S ribosomal RNA". It matches the Rfam family "Bacterial small subunit ribosomal RNA", at positions 1386 to 1482 of the family's 1533-position model. The record is from RNAcentral.
CACACCGCCCGUCACAUCACGAAAGUGGUCUGUACUAGAAGCCGGUGCUCUAACCCGCAAGGGAAGAAGCCGUCCAAGGUAUAGGUCAUGAUUGGGGUG